AUUGAACGCUGGCGGAAUGCUUUACACAUGCAAGUCGAACGGCAGCACGGGUGCUUGCACCUGGUGGCGAGUGGCGAACGGGUGAGUAAUGCACCGGAACGUAUCCAAUAAUGGGGGAUAACGCACCGAAAGGUGUGCUAAUACCGCAUACGCCCUGAGGGGGAAAGCGGGGGAUCGUAAGACCUCGCGUUAAUGGAGCGGCCGAUGCCGGAUUAGCUAGUUGGUGAGGUAAAGGCUCACCAAGGCGACGAUCCGUAGCUGGUCUGAGAGGACGACCAGCCACACUGGAACUGAGACACGGUCCAGACUCCUACGGGAGGCAGCAGUGGGAAUUUUGGACAAUGGGCGCAAGCCUGAUCCAGCCAUUCCGCGUGAGUGAAGAAGGCC
RNAcentral lists this ribosomal RNA (387 nucleotides) under uncultured bacterium. RNAcentral describes it as "bacterial SSU rRNA". It matches the Rfam family "Bacterial small subunit ribosomal RNA", at positions 30 to 416 of the family's 1533-position model. The record is from RNAcentral.